Molecule: ribosomal RNA, 465 nt
Filed under: uncultured bacterium
Lineage: Bacteria
Description: partial 16S ribosomal RNA
Rfam family: Bacterial small subunit ribosomal RNA
Source: RNAcentral
CCUACGGGUGGCAGCAGUGGGGAAUAUUGCGCAAUGGGCGAAAGCCUGACGCAGCGACGCCGCGUGAGGGAUGAAGGUCUUCGGAUCGUAAACCUCUGUCAGCAGGGAAGAACGGUCACUGUGCUAAUCAGCAGUGAAUUGACGGUACCUGCAAAGGAAGCACCGGCUAACUCCGUGCCAGCAGCCGCGGUAAUACGGAGGGUGCGAGCGUGAAUCGGAAUUACUGGGCGUAAAGCGCUCGUAGGCGGUAUGUCAAGUCAAGGGUGAAAUCCCCGCGCUCAACGUGGGAACUGCCUUUGAAACUGGCAGACUGGAGUGGGUGAGAGGAGAGUGGAAUUCCAGGUGUAGGAGUGAAAUCCGUAGAUAUCUGGAGGAACAUCGGUGGCGAAGGCGACUAUCUGGCACAUAACUGACGCUGAGGAGCGAAAGCGUGGGUAGCAAACAGGAUUAGAUACCCGAGUAGUC